UACGGGGGGGGCAAGCGUUGUUCGGAAUUACUGGGCGUAAAGGGCUCGUAGGCGGCCAACUAAGUCGGACGUGAAAUCCCUCGGCUUAACCGGGGAACUGCGUCCGAUACUGGAUGGCUUGAGUGUGGGAGAGGGAUGCGGAAUUCCAGGUGUAGCGGUGAAAUGCGUAGAUAUCUGGAGGAACACCGGUGGCGAAGGCGGCAUCCUGGACUACUACUGACGCUGAGGGAGCGAAAGCCAGGGGAGCAAACGGG
This 254-nucleotide ribosomal RNA is filed under the name uncultured bacterium. RNAcentral describes it as "partial 16S ribosomal RNA". It matches the Rfam family "Bacterial small subunit ribosomal RNA", at positions 524 to 776 of the family's 1533-position model. The record is from RNAcentral.